RNAcentral lists this ribosomal RNA (574 nucleotides) under Listeria booriae. RNAcentral's name for it is "partial 23S ribosomal RNA". It matches the Rfam family "Bacterial large subunit ribosomal RNA", at positions 1581 to 2155 of the family's 2925-position model. Lineage: Bacteria; Bacillati; Bacillota; Bacilli; Caryophanales; Listeriaceae. The record is from RNAcentral.
AGUACGGAAGUUCCUGAUUUCACGCUGUCAAGAAAAGCCUCUAGUUAGAUUAGUACUGCCCGUACCGCAAACCGACACAGGUAGAUGAGGAGAGAAUCCUAAGGUGAGCGAGAGAACUCUCGUUAAGGAACUCGGCAAAAUGACCCCGUAACUUCGGGAGAAGGGGUGCUCUAUUAGGGUGAAAGCCCGAGAGAGCCGCAGUGAAUAGGCCCAGGCGACUGUUUAGCAAAAACACAGGUCUCUGCAAAACCGUAAGGUGACGUAUAGGGGCUGACGCCUGCCCGGUGCUGGAAGGUUAAGAGGAGUGCUUAGCGCAAGCGAAGGUACGAAUUGAAGCCCCAGUAAACGGCGGCCGUAACUAUAACGGUCCUAAGGUAGCGAAAUUCCUUGUCGGGUAAGUUCCGACCCGCACGAAAGGCGCAACGAUCUGGGCACUGUCUCAACGAGAGACUCGGUGAAAUUAUAGUACCUGUGAAGAUGCAGGUUACCCGCGACAGGACGGAAAGACCCCGUGGAGCUUUACUGCAACCUGAUAUGGAAUGUUUGUACCGCUUGUACAGGAUAGGUAGGAGCC